Non-coding RNA from Poecilia reticulata (guppy), 383 nucleotides. Lineage: Eukaryota; Metazoa; Chordata; Actinopteri; Cyprinodontiformes; Poeciliidae. The record is from RefSeq and is a predicted model, not a curated record.
UGAAAACGUAGGAAAAUUUGUGGACUGUAUACACAAAUCAACCAAAAAUAUUUUGUGGUGGGCAAUGGUCAGCAGCCAGGGAAAUCUCUCACAGAUCCAGCAGCAAAUUGGAUGAGGGGGCUUGGAGCUAGCGGUGUGUAUACAUGGAGUGCUGCUUAGUGCUCUUUGAGAUAGUGUACGAGAUAUUUGCAUAACCCUUGUCCUUUCAACAAAGGCUGGCCAACAGACAAUCACUUUUUUUUCCAUGGAUGUAACAUGCAAGUACUGGUCAGAUCUUGAAAACUAACAAAAAGCUGUCCUGAGCUCCAACACCUGCUUAAAAUGAAGCCAUUUCUCUCAAUUUUCCAUGGCAAAGCCCAUGAAUACACAGAUGGACACAAAGU